AUGAAAGAUCUGGGCCUCCAGCUCAAUGCCAGUAGCGCUAGCCUCCCCAGCGCUGGCCUCCUUCGAACUAUAGCUCCCCUCUUGGAACUAAGCUGGAUGGACCCUGAUGGUCAAGUUUUCUUCCAGAAACAAGUACACAAGAUCCCUGUGAGUUACAGAAAACUCCAGGACAUGGUGAAGGACAAGGAAGCCUGGCAUGCUGCAGUCUAUGGGGUCACAAAGAGUCGGACACGACUGAGGGACUGGACAGCAACACAACUGUGCACAGAAAACUCACAUUCAAGUGGAAAAGACAGAAAUCAGGUUAGAGAGAAAUCCAGAGAGUUUCGGAUUUAUAAGCACUAUGAAGUCACUAAUAUGGGGAAAUGCAACAAAAUGUGCAGGGCAUGCUAAUUUUAGUUCGGUGAGCAGGGAUAUUCUCUCUGGGGAAGGGGUAUUUAAGUAGAGACUGAAAUAGAUAGAAGGAGCUGGCACUGACCUGAGGAAAGAGUUUUCCAGGCAGAGUGACCCUCACGGGCAAAGGCCCUGAGGUCGGAACAAACCUGCCAUGUUUAAGAGACAGAGACGCUAUGUGGCCAGGGUGGGACAGGCUGGAGGUCGGGAAACAAUGGGCAGGUGUGAGGCCAAAUCAUGCAGAACCUCAGUGAACUUGAAUUACCUAAGAGACGUAAUCUCACCGUAAGCAAUUUAACAAAGAGAUAACAUAAAAGAUUUAAAGAGAUCAUGGUCAUUCAUUAUCUCAACUUGUAGAGAAAACUGACCAGUGACAUUUUGGUGCAUGUCCUUUCAAACAUUCUAUUUCAUAUCCUAUCAUAUAAACAUAUAGGGGACUUCCCUGGUCGUCCAGUGGUUAGGACGCUGCGCUUCCACUGCAGGGAGCAUGCGUUCAACCCCGUGUCAGGGAACUAAGGUUUCACAUGCCGCAUGGCACAACUGAAAAAAAAAAAAGAAAGAAAAUAUAUAUAUAUACUUACAAGAGUAGGAUCAUAUAAUACAUCCAUGAAACUAGCCUUUUAUUUUAUUUUAUUGUGUGUU
This is a long non-coding RNA of Bos indicus x Bos taurus (hybrid cattle), 1035 nucleotides long. NCBI's taxonomy places the organism in Eukaryota, Metazoa, Chordata, Mammalia, Artiodactyla, Bovidae. The record is from Ensembl.